RNAcentral lists this long non-coding RNA (878 nucleotides) under Triticum aestivum (bread wheat). RNAcentral's name for it is "long non-coding RNA (TAES_LNC021365)". Lineage: Eukaryota; Viridiplantae; Streptophyta; Magnoliopsida; Poales; Poaceae. The record is from RNAcentral.
UCCUUCCUAUGGGCAUCGCCGAGGUAUUCUCAUCCGCAAUUUAUGCUGCUUCGGAGGAAACUCUAGAUUCAUGUGAUCGGACGAUGACGGUGCUUUGGCAUCAUAUCCCUCUCCAGGGUUUCAUCUUUCGAGCUAUGCAUUAGCAUGCUGGGCCGAUGGAAGAUGGAAGCAGAAUGCAUUUAUAACAAGGGCACUGGCCACAGGUUUACAAUGACUUACUGGUUGUACUGAUGGAGCAGAGUGCAUAUUUGUGCAGAGUCUGCAAAGAGUAACUGAAAGACUCGACUGAUCAGAUUUGUCAGGAGGGCUUUCUUAUUUAUGUAUCCAAUUUUAUGCAUGCCAGAGGAAGAAGAUCAAGGUAUGUAUAUAUAGCUUGAUUAGACACAAUGGUAAAUUUCUUAUGCUUUUUUGGCCUGAAUCAUCUAUUAUGUUGUGCGUACAUGUACUACACAGUGUAUUAUUUUUUGGCCUGAAUCAAAAAAUAAUGCAGUCAUUUAACCUUCUCAAAUUCGGAUCAUGUACUACACAGUGUUGUUUCUUUUGCCUACAAGCAUCACGCACACCUUCCAGUAGGACCAGAAUGAUGUAUAGAAGAUAACAAAACAAGUUUACAAGUGUUACCGAAAUUUCCUUAAGUUCUUUUCUCCUAUGAUUUACUGAAUGCAUCCUUGUGUUCUGUAAUUGUGUAAAAAAUGACAUCUUUGUAAUGUACUUUUAUUUAACUCAGCUCAUUUUUCUCCGUAUUGUACUUCUAAAAUUUGCCAAGUUUCGAAUUCUGACUCAGAGUGCUUAUUCAUGUUCUUUUUUGUUAGCUUUUAGUCAGCUGAGUUGAAGAAGCAAGUAAGCCUGAAUAAAUGGACAGAUUGACAUUUAAAAAU